AUAUGACCUAGGUGGGAUUAGCUAGUUGGUGAGGUAAGGGCUCACCAAGGCGACGAUCCCUAGCUGGUCUGAGAGGAUGAUCAGCCACACUGGAACUGAGACACGGUCCAGACUCCUACGGGAGGCAGCAGUGGGGAAUAUUGCACAAUGGGCGCAAGCCUGAUGCAGCCAUGCCGCGUGUGUGAAGAAGGCCUUCGGGUUGUAAAGCACUUUCAGUCGUGAGGAAGGUAGUGUAGUUAAUAGCUGCAUUAUUUGACGUUAGCGACAGAAGAAGCACCGGCUAACUCCGUGCCAGCAGCCGCGGUAAUACGGAGGGUGCGAGCGUUAAUCGGAAUUACUGGGCGUAAAGCGCAUGCAGGUGGUUUGUUAAGUCAGAUGUGAAAGCCCGGGGCUCAACCUCGGAAUUGCAUUUGAAACUGGCAGACUAGAGUACUGUAGAGGGGGGUAGAAUUUCAGGUGUAGCGGUGAAAUGCGUAGAGAUCUGAAGGAAUACCGGUGGCGAAGGCGGCCCCCUGGACAGAUACUGACACUCAGAUGCGAAAGCGUGGGGAGCAAACAGGAUUAGAUACCCUGGUAGUCCACGCCGUAAACGAUGUCUACUUGGAGGUUGUGGCCUUGAGCCGUGGCUUUCGGAGCUAACGCGUUAAGUAGACCGCCUGGGGAGUACGGUCGCAAGAUUAAAACUCAAAUGAAUUGACGGGGGCCCGCACAAGCGGUGGAGCAUGUGGUUUAAUUCGAUGCAACGCGAAGAACCUUACCUACUCUUGACAUCCAGAAAACUUUCCAGAGAUGGAUUGGUGCCUUCGGGAACUCUGAAACAGGUGCUGCAUGGCUGUCNNCAGCUCGUNUUGUGAAAUGUUGGGUUAAUUCCCGCAACGAGCGCAACCCUUAUCCUUGUUUGCC
Molecule: ribosomal RNA, 903 nt
Filed under: Vibrio sp.
Lineage: Bacteria; Pseudomonadati; Pseudomonadota; Gammaproteobacteria; Vibrionales; Vibrionaceae
Description: bacterial SSU rRNA
Rfam family: Bacterial small subunit ribosomal RNA
Source: RNAcentral